This 1506-nucleotide long non-coding RNA is filed under the name Phasianus colchicus (ring-necked pheasant). RNAcentral's name for it is "lncRNA (ENSPCLG00000017296.1)". The record is from RNAcentral. Lineage: Eukaryota; Metazoa; Chordata; Aves; Galliformes; Phasianidae.
UAUAGGGCUGCGCCGGUUCCUAUAGGGCCGCUGUACUUCCUAUAGGGCCGCUCUGCUUCCUAUAGGGCCUCGCCGGUUCCUAUAGGGCCGCUCCAGUUCCUAUAGGGCCGCUGUACUUCCUAUAGGGUCGCGCCGGUUCCUAUAGGGCCGCUCCUCUUCCUAUAGGGCCGCUCCAGUUCCUAUAGGGCCGCGUGGGUUCCUAUAGGGCCGCUCCGGUUCCUAUAGGGCCACGCCAGUUCCUAUAGGGCCACUCCGGUUCCUAUAGGGCCGCGCGGGUUCCUAUAGGGCCGCUCCAGUUCCUAUAGGGCCGCGCCAGUUCCUAUAGGGCCGCACCGGUUCCUAUAGGGCCACUGCACUUCCUAUAGGGCUGUGCUGCUUCCUAUAGGGCCGCUCCAGUUCCUAUAGGGCCGCGCCAGUUCCUAUAGGGCUGCGCCGCUUCCUAUAGGGCCGUGCCGGUUCCUAUAUGGCCGCUGUACUUCCUAUAGGGCCACGCCAGUUCCUAUAGGGCCGCUCCUCUUCCUAUAGGGCCUUGCCGGUUCCUAUAGGGCCGCUGUACUUCCAAUAGGGCCGCGCUGGUUCCUAUAGGGCCACACCGGUUCCUAUAGGGCCACUCUGCUUCCUAUAGGGCCGCUCCGGUUCCUAUAGGGUCGCUGUACUUCCUAUAGGGCCGAUCCGCUUCCUAUAGGGCCACGCCGGUUCCUAUAGGGCCGCUCCACUUCCUAUAGGGCUGUGCCGGUUCCUAUAGGGCUGCUCCGCUUCCUAUAGGGCCGCGCUGCUUCCUAUAGGGCCGCUCCACUUCCUAUAGGGCCGUGCUGGUUCCUAUAGGGCCGCGUCGGUUCCUAUAGGGCCGCGCCGGUUCCUAUAGGGCCGCUCCUUUCUCACCCUACAGCCUCCACCCCAAAUCCCAGCGAACCCACAGCGCUGAGCCCUGGAGCAGCAAAACUCAUCACAGGUAACGGCCCUAUAGGGUCACCAGCCCUUAUAGGGUCACCAGCCCUUAUAGGGUCAGCCAGCCCCUAUAGGAUUGCACACCCAUAUAGGGUCAUCAACCCUUAUAGGGUCACCAACCCUUAUAGGGUCAGCCAGCUCUUAUAGGGUCACCAACCCUUAUAGGGUCAGCCAGCCCUUAUAGGGUCAGCCAGCCCUUAUAGGAUCACCAACCCUUAUAGGGUCACCAACCCGUAUAGGGUCAGCCAGCCCCUAUCGGGUCACCAACCCUUAUAAGGUCAGCCAGCCCUUAUAGGGUCAGCCUGUCCUUAUAGGGCCACCAGCCCUUAUAGGGUCAGCCAGCCCUUAUAGGGUCACCAACCCUUAUAGGGUCAGCCAUCCCUUAUAGGGUCACCAACCCUUAUAGGGUCACUAGCCCUUAUAGGAUCGCACACCCAUAUAGGGUCAUCAACCCUUUUAGGGUCAGCCAGCCCUUAUAGGGUCAGGCAGCCCCUAUCGGGUCACCAGCCCUUAUAGGGUCACCAACCCUUAUAGGGUCAGCCAGCCCCUAUAGGAUCA